Molecule: long non-coding RNA, 289 nt
Filed under: Cricetulus griseus (Chinese hamster)
Lineage: Eukaryota; Metazoa; Chordata; Mammalia; Rodentia; Cricetidae
Description: lncRNA (ENSCGRG00015040484.1)
Source: RNAcentral
CAGCAUGAUGUGCAUUGGGUUUGGAGAUGUCUGAUCAUGUUCUAACUGUGCCUGAGAAAACUGCAGGUAUCUUGGAAUCUCAACAAACAAGUGUUCUGGUGACUAAGGAUCACUGAGAUUCAAAAUUAUACCCUCGGUGCCUGCUAAGAAGCAAAAAGCCAAGGCCCCUCGCAUCAUUUUGAGAAUGCCAGAAGAACAGAAUAUUAAGAAUGAGAUUUCUUGGCCUGGUAGUGGUGGCGCACGCCUUUAAUCCCAGCACUCGGGAGGCAGAGGCAAGCAGACUUCUGUG